AUUGAACGCUGGCGGCAUGCCUUACACAUGCAAGUCGAACGUGAAAGGGGGGCAACCCCCCGAGUAGAGUGGCGGACGGGUGAGCAACACAUCGGAACGUACCCAGUAGUGGGGGACAACCUCGAGAAAUCGAGGCUAAUACCGCAUACGACCCACGGGUGAAAGCGGGGGACCGCAAGGCCUCGCGCUAUUGGAGCGGCCGAUGUCCGAUUAGCUUGUUGGUGGGGUAACGGCCCACCAAGGCGACGAUCGGUAGCUGGUCUGAGAGGAUGAUCAGCCACACUGGGACUGAGACACGGCCCAGACUCCUACGGGAGGCAGCAGUGGGGAAUUUUUGGACAAUGGGGGCGAACCCUGAUCCAGCCAUGCCGCGUGCGGGAAGAAGGCCUUC
This 391-nucleotide ribosomal RNA is filed under the name uncultured bacterium. RNAcentral's name for it is "partial 16S ribosomal RNA". It matches the Rfam family "Bacterial small subunit ribosomal RNA", at positions 29 to 419 of the family's 1533-position model. The record is from RNAcentral.